GAAUCCCAAAUUGAUCAAGGUAUGAACUUCACUUGAUCAAUGCCAUCCAUUCAUUUUGAGGGAUGAAGUUCAAACUUCAUCAACCCCUAAAUCCAAUGGUAUUGAUCAAAUUAAUGUCCAAUUCAACCAAGAUCAGGGCCAAAUAGAAGUUGAGUCAACACAAAGUCAAUAAAAUAGCUCAAAAAAAUAUUAAAGCAAUUAAACAAUUUAAAAUCAAUUUUAAAUGAAGAA
This 231-nucleotide long non-coding RNA is filed under the name Lathyrus oleraceus (garden pea). RNAcentral's name for it is "Pisum sativum (pea) long non-coding RNA (PSAT_LNC014244)". Lineage: Eukaryota; Viridiplantae; Streptophyta; Magnoliopsida; Fabales; Fabaceae. The record is from RNAcentral.